This 304-nucleotide ribosomal RNA is filed under the name uncultured bacterium. Its description in RNAcentral is "bacterial SSU rRNA". It matches the Rfam family "Bacterial small subunit ribosomal RNA", at positions 28 to 334 of the family's 1533-position model. The record is from RNAcentral.
GACGAACGCUGGCGGCGUGCUUAACACAUGCAAGUUGAGCGGAGAUGGAUUGAGAGACUUCGGUUGAUUGGUACAUUUCAGCAGCGGACGGGUGAGUAAAGCACAAGGACUUGUCCGAAAGAGGGGGACACCUGCGGGAAACCGGAGCUAAUACCCCAUAAGCCGGAAGGUGAAAGGCAGAGAUGCGCUUUUGGAGAGACUUGUGUCCUAUCAGGCAGUUGGUGAGGUAACGGCUCACCAAACCGAAGACGGGUAGCCGGACUGAGAGGUCGACCGGCCACAUUGGAACUGAGAGACGGUCCAG